This is a small nucleolar RNA of Heterocephalus glaber (naked mole-rat), 132 nucleotides long. Its record names the gene SNORA72. It matches the Rfam family "Small nucleolar RNA SNORA72". From Rfam's summary of the family: U72 is a member of the H/ACA class of snoRNAs. The snoRNA gene is located in intron 4 of the ribosomal L30 protein gene in human, mouse and chicken. Lineage: Eukaryota; Metazoa; Chordata; Mammalia; Rodentia; Bathyergidae. The record is from Ensembl.
CUGCGAAUAUUCUCGCUGUUCUGAUUGUGUUAUAAUCAGGGCAGGCUAAACAUUCGCUAUAGUAAGACCAUGCAUGUGUCCCCAGACCUAGAUCUUUCCCUAGGUCUGGUUUUACAAAUGCUGGUGAUAAAC